Molecule: ribosomal RNA, 121 nt
Filed under: Trifolium pratense (red clover)
Lineage: Eukaryota; Viridiplantae; Streptophyta; Magnoliopsida; Fabales; Fabaceae
Source: RNAcentral
AAGUGUAUUCAUGUCAGUACUAAUGCACAAAAUUUCAUUAGAAUUUCACAGUUAAAAGUGUUUGGCGUGGGAGUAGUACUAGAACGAGUGGUCUCAUGGAAAAGUCCUUGUGUUACAUUAC